GUUAAGCGACUAAGCGUACACGGUGGAUGCCCUGGCAGUCAGAGGCGAUGAAGGACGUGCUAAUCUGCGAUAAGCGUCGGUAAGGUGAUAUGAACCGUUAUAACCGGCGAUUUCCGAAUGGGGAAACCCAGUGUGUUUCGACACACUAUCAUUAACUGAAUCCAUAGGUUAAUGAGGCGAACCGGGGGAACUGAAACAUCUAAGUACCCCGAGGAAAAGAAAUCAACCGAGAUUCCCCCAGUAGCGGCGAGCGAACGGGGAGCAGCCCAGAGCCUGAAUCAGUGUGUGUGUUAGUGGAAGCGUCUGGAAAGGCGCGCGAUACAGGGUGACAGCCCCGUACACAAAAAUGCACAUGCUGUGAGCUCGAUGAGUAGGGCGGGACACGUGGUAUCCUGUCUGAAUAUGGGGGGACCAUCCUCCAAGGCUAAAUACUCCUGACUGACCGAUAGUGAACCAGUACCGUGAGGGAAAGGCGAAAAGAACCCCGGCGAGGGGAGUGAAAAAGAACCUGAAACCGUGUACGUACAAGCAGUGGGAGCACGCUUAGGCGUGUGACUGCGUACCUUUUGUAUAAUGGGUCAGCGACUUAUAUUCUGUAGCAAGGUUAACCGAAUAGGGGAGCCGAAGGGAAACCGAGUCUUAACUGGGCGUUAAGUUGCAGGGUAUAGACCCGAAACCCGGUGAUCUAGCCAUGGGCAGGUUGAAGGUUGGGUAACACUAACUGGAGGACCGAACCGACUAAUGUUGAAAAAUUAGCGGAUGACUUGUGGCUGGGGGUGAAAGGCCAAUCAAACCGGGAGAUAGCUGGUUCUCCCCGAAAGCUAUUUAGGUAGCGCCUCGUGAAUUCAUCUCCGGGGGUAGAGCACUGUUUCGGCAAGGGGGUCAUCCCGACUUACCAACCCGAUGCAAACUGCGAAUACCGGAGAAUGUUAUCACGGGAGACACACGGCGGGUGCUAACGUCCGUCGUGAAGAGGGAAACAACCCAGACCGCCAGCUAAGGUCCCAAAGUCAUGGUUAAGUGGGAAACGAUGUGGGAAGGCCCAGACAGCCAGGAUGUUGGCUUAGAAGCAGCCAUCAUUUAAAGA
This 1087-nucleotide ribosomal RNA is filed under the name Escherichia coli. Its description in RNAcentral is "partial 23S ribosomal RNA". It matches the Rfam family "Bacterial large subunit ribosomal RNA", at positions 1 to 1129 of the family's 2925-position model. The record is from RNAcentral. Lineage: Bacteria; Pseudomonadati; Pseudomonadota; Gammaproteobacteria; Enterobacterales; Enterobacteriaceae.